AUUGAACGCUGGCGGCAGGCCUAACACAUGCAAGUCGAACGAGUGGCGGACGGGUGAGUAAUGUCUGGGAAACUGACUGAUGGUGGGGGAUAACUACUGGAAACGGUAGCUAAUACCGCAUACCACCAGAUGUGACCGAAUGGGAUUAGCUGGGUGGAGGGGUAACGGCUCACCAAGGCGACGAUCCCUAGCUGUUCUGAGAGGAUGACCAGCCACACUGUAACUGAGACACGGUCCAGACUCCGACGCGAGGCAGCAGUGGGGAGUAGUGGACAAUGGGCGCAAGCCUGAUGCAGCCAUGCCGCGUGUAUUAAGAAGGCCUUCGGGUUUUAAAGUACUUUCAGCGGGGAGGCGUUACCCGCAGAAGAAGCACCGGCUAACUCCGUGCCAGCAGCCGCGGUAAUUC
Molecule: ribosomal RNA, 406 nt
Filed under: uncultured bacterium
Lineage: Bacteria
Description: partial 16S ribosomal RNA
Rfam family: Bacterial small subunit ribosomal RNA
Source: RNAcentral